UACAGAGGUGGCAAGCGUUGUUCGGAAUUACUGGGCGUAAAGGGCGCGUAGGCGGCCUUCUAAGUCAGACGUGAAAUCCCCCGGCUUAACCUGGGAACUGCGUCUGAUACUGGAGGGCUUGAGUGCGGGAGAGGGAUGUGGAAUUCCAGGUGUAGCGGUGAAAUGCGUAGAUAUCUGGAGGAACACCGGUGGCGAAGGCGGCAUCCUGGACCGACACUGACGCUGAGGCGCGAAAGCGUGGGGAGCAAACAGGG
Molecule: ribosomal RNA, 254 nt
Filed under: uncultured bacterium
Lineage: Bacteria
Description: partial 16S ribosomal RNA
Rfam family: Bacterial small subunit ribosomal RNA
Source: RNAcentral